Molecule: long non-coding RNA, 1607 nt
Organism: Protopterus annectens (West African lungfish)
Lineage: Eukaryota; Metazoa; Chordata; Ceratodontiformes; Protopteridae
Exons: 2
Source: RefSeq, a predicted model, not a curated record
ACAUCUGGGUUAUCAAUAGGAACAACUACAGGCCAAAAAGACAUACUUAUAAUCAAUUUUGAUCUGAGGUCAGAGUGUGCUGAUUCUGAGCUGAGAGCUACUUUACAAUGGAUAGCUGCUUCAGAGCUUGGAAUUCCAACUGUUUACUUCUGUAAAUCCCAGGAAAAACAAAUUGAAAAGUUUCUACAUGUUGUCCACCUGGUUCAUCGCAAGGCCUGGAAAGUUGGGGACCUUUUUCGUGCUAUAAUACAGUACUGUAAAGAGCAAGAACAACAUGAAGGACCCACAAUAAGCCUCUUUGACUGGAUUCUUGAGUUUGGCUAAAAUGAAGUUAAUGCCCAGAUUGUUCCAAACUGUAUUUGAAGUUAUGUGACAGUGGUUCAGUGUAAUGCAGUAGUUUGCUAAAAAUAUUGUGUUUUAGUAGAUGCAAGUUUACAAAUAAAUCUGGUUUGUACAUUUUAGAAAAAAUACAUUUCAAUGAAGACCACUGGGGAAACUGGUGGAAAUUCAGUAAAAUAAUUGGACAAUUGUAAACAGACUUAAUAAAGCGUUGUGUACUAAGAAAUGAAUAUUUUGAAGUCAUUAAGGUAUAUAUGUUUUGUAUAUUAGGCAUGUGGCAAAGGGUUGUAUUGUAUAGAACUGUUAAAAUGAGCACAAAUAUUUUUUCUAGCUGUCUUAUUUAUAAAUAUACAAAUGGAGAAUUGUUAUUUAAUGGUAUGUACGACAUUACUACAGAGCACGACAUUUACACUGCAUUACAUAUAUAUGACUUUUUUGGUCUAGAAUGGUCAUCAGUGAAAAAAUAAUAUGAUUUUCAAAAACUGGACAGAAUCUGAGUAUAUCAAGCCCAUGUAGCACUGAAAACUAAACACGUCUCCCCAAAUAACUUGCCAAAGAUCACACUUUAUUUUGCAGCACAGGUAUUUACUGUAUCGUUAUGAAACUUUCAUUUUUCAUAGUCUUAAUCAGUUAUUUCAUUAUUCUUAAUAAAAUAGUGCUCUUACAAUUUCUGUUUCUGAAUUUAGAUAUUUCUACUGUUUAAUAUUAGUACAUUAAAUGAUAGUGCACAUUAUGUGAGAUUUUUCAUUACAGUAUUCUUGCAAUAAUCCUGCCAUACACUAAAAUCAUUUAUGCACUAAUAUAUCUGGCAUAGGUCUAAUCUUAGCGCAAGAGAUGUGUAAAUUGGAAAAGCCAUGUAAUGUUUUAUUGUGUGUUUCUAUGUAUUGCAGAAAGAAAAUCUCCAUUCAUAUUUUUCAUCUUCAGUGACAAAUGUCUGUUACUAAGGACUUCUGUAGCCUACAUUUACUAUUUGUUAUAACUCAGUCACUUUUGAAGGUGUGUGGUACACACCUAAUAUGUGUACAUCAUUAAGACAAAGGAAGCUGCCUCAAGAUCUCAUGCGAACAAGCAUACUUUAGAAAGUUAAAAUGUUCCAUACACUUUAGUAGUAAAUGACAACUGAUUGUGAACUUAAAAGACGUGUCUAUGAUAGACAAAAAAGGUUUUCUUGUCCAGCAGAGCACAAACCAUGAAAACAAACAUCAUUAGCAUGGAUACCAUGCUCCUGUAUUAACUAUGUGUGAAGAAAUAAAGAUGUGUACUGUGUU